RNAcentral lists this ribosomal RNA (484 nucleotides) under uncultured bacterium. Its description in RNAcentral is "partial 16S ribosomal RNA". It matches the Rfam family "Bacterial small subunit ribosomal RNA", at positions 28 to 523 of the family's 1533-position model. The record is from RNAcentral.
GACGAACGCUGGCGGCGUGCUUAACACAUGCAAGUCGAACGAUGAAGCCGGAGCUUGCUCUGGUGGAUUAGUGGCGAACGGGUGAGUAACACGUGAGUAACCUGCCCUUGACUCUGGGAUAAGCGUUGGAAACGACGUCUAAUACCGGAUACGAGCUAGGACCGCAUGGUCACUAGCUGGAAAGAAUUUCGGUCAAGGAUGGACUCGCAGCCUAUCAGUUAGUUGGUGAGGUAACGGCUCACCAAGACGACGACGGGUAGCCGGCCCGAGAGGGUGACCGGCCACACUGGGACUGAGACACGGCCCAGACUCCUACGGGAGGCAGCAGUGGGGAAUAUUGCACAACGGGCGCAAGCCUGAUGCAGCAACGCCGCGUGAGGGACGACGGCCUUCGGGUUGUAAACCUCUUUUAGCAGGGAAGAAGCGCAAGUGACGGUACCUGCAGAAAAAGCACCGGCUAACUACGUGCCAGCCGCCGCAGUAA